UCUCUCUCUCGCAUCUCUGUGGGUGCUCCACGGUGUCACCACCACCUACAUCAUACAACAUCAAAAUUGAUACGCCCAUCUCCACCACUAUCACCGGCGUUGCAGAGAAUCGAAGUUAGUAGCCGUGGCGGUUCAGUCUUUUUGACAACAAUUAGGCGUGCAAUAGACUAAGGUGGUCAACGACGAAACCUACGGUUGCGCCGGAAUUGAAGACACUUUCGUUAUCGGGUUCUCAUUUUGGUACUUAACCUCAUCUCAUCAAAUUGAUCCAUUCUUCAAUACAUGUCGCGCAGAUAAUUGAAGUUAGUAGCCGUGGCGGUUCAGGCUUUUUGACAACAAUUAGGCGUGCAAUAGACUAAGGUGGUCAACGACGAAACCUACGGUUGCGCCGGAAUUGAAGACACUUUCGUUAUCGGGAGGUUCAUCAUUUUCGGAUACUUAGAUCCUGCAUCGUUUUCCACUAUGAUGCACGGAUUCUUCAAAAAUU
Molecule: long non-coding RNA, 487 nt
Filed under: Salvia miltiorrhiza (redroot sage)
Lineage: Eukaryota; Viridiplantae; Streptophyta; Magnoliopsida; Lamiales; Lamiaceae
Description: long non-coding RNA (SMIL_LNC007904)
Source: RNAcentral